This 791-nucleotide long non-coding RNA is filed under the name Olea europaea subsp. europaea. The record is from RNAcentral. Lineage: Eukaryota; Viridiplantae; Streptophyta; Magnoliopsida; Lamiales; Oleaceae.
UAAUAGCAUAGAUAACCAAAAAUUAUUUGUGUUGAGCAUUAGAUACGUCAAACUUAAGGACAUGAAUAAACUAAAGAUUGGAAUUUCUCUCAGCAAGAUAACACUUCUCUUCAUAAGAAGCACAACUCUAGCUCCAUGACUCAUUUAGCGAAAAUUUCAUUAACUUACAGUCUAGAGAAGUUUGCGAUGAUAAUGAACUUUUGUCUGGCUUCAAUUAACCAUGAUUAGGAUGCAAUUAACCAUGAUUACAGUCAAAAUUAGAGGAAAUCAAGUGCAAAAAGGUGCAUACUUUGCAUUACAUAUUUUUACAUCAAACGGUAAGAAUGAGGAGGAUAGCGAGCAGCAACCAUUAUAGAAUCUGUGUGAUAUUGGUACUUCUAAUGGUAAGAAUGCAGUUUCCUUGAUUUGGAAGUAUUUCUACAAAUUAAGUUCGCCAAUGUUCAACCAUGGGGUUUUAGGAUAAUGAAUAAGUAGGAGUUAAACAAGCAAGACACAUAUCAUCAUCCCUCUAAUUGGAUGGUGGCUGCUCUUGUACGUACCUAUCCAAUGGAUAGAAACUAAAAUCACACAAAAAUGUGAUUCUUGACUUGUUGAGAAACUAAAAGAAAGAAUAUAAAGAUUAGUGUACCAACAAACUGUUGGAAGAAACUAUUAAAGAUAUAAGAUCAAGACAUGUAAAUAUCACCAAAAGUAUACUCAAAGCAAUGUUUUAACUCACUGAGCAAAAUUCAAACAAGAUGUCUAUACAUGCAAAAGCUAUUACAGAAUUUUUAUGCAACUUGAAUGAAAGG